This 300-nucleotide unclassified non-coding RNA is filed under the name Hevea brasiliensis (rubber tree). Lineage: Eukaryota; Viridiplantae; Streptophyta; Magnoliopsida; Malpighiales; Euphorbiaceae. The record is from RNAcentral.
GUGAGAGCAUAAAAGAAGAAUCAAUAGGUGGCAUUUAUUUGUACACAAUGAGGGAAUAUUUGAAAGGCAAAAGGUGUAGGGCAUGGAAGGAAUCUCUUUUUCCCUUCUGAAAGAGAACGGAGGAUGUUUGAUAUGAUGUUGCUGUUUUGAUUAAACUUCAAGGAGUAGGUGGUGGGUUCAAGAAAAGGGUCGGUUUUCUUUCAAGAACCUUUUGGAUUGAAAAUGGUGAGCCAAAGAGAAUUUGCUUUAGGAUGGAUGUCCAUCUCUGCAAUUGGGGAGGUGUGUGUGUGCAGUUAGGAU